Molecule: transfer RNA, 88 nt
Filed under: Parasedimentitalea psychrophila
Lineage: Bacteria; Pseudomonadati; Pseudomonadota; Alphaproteobacteria; Rhodobacterales; Paracoccaceae
Description: Parasedimentitalea sp. QS115 tRNA-Leu
Rfam family: tRNA
About the family: Transfer RNA (tRNA) molecules are approximately 80 nucleotides in length. Their secondary structure includes four short double-helical elements and three loops (D, anti-codon, and T loops).
Source: RNAcentral
GCGGACGUGGUGGAAUUGGUAGACACAAGGGACUUAAAAUCCCUCGCCAGAUAAUGGCUUACGGGUUCGAUUCCCGUCGUCCGUACCA